This is a long non-coding RNA of Amphiprion ocellaris (clown anemonefish), 3779 nucleotides long. The record is from Ensembl. Lineage: Eukaryota; Metazoa; Chordata; Actinopteri; Pomacentridae.
GUUCAUCAGAACCUCUGGGGAUCCUGUGGAUCCUGUGGGUUGCAGGGUGGGUCCUACCUAGACCAGGCUGAUCCUGGACCAUCCCACAGAUGCUCCAUCAGAUGUGGAUGUGGGGAGUGUGGAACCCAGAUGUUCAGAGGGAGAUGAUGCCACAUCUGGUCCAGCUGAUGGAAGGUCUUGAAGUUCUCUGACUGGCCUCGACUGAAGAUGGUCGUCUCACUGGAUUUAAGGUUCAGAUGCUCAGUAACAAACUCCACCAAUGAGCCAACAGGGAAGCUUUAGGUUUAUUAAAUGUUGCUAUGAAGGUUUCACUGUUUUUCUUUGUGAAUGCAAUGAGCUCCAACUGAAACUUGAAUUAGAACUUAGAAGUAAAUCCUUCCAUCUGAAAGGAUUUAGUUGCAUUAAUAACCUCAUAACAUUCUAAUUUUUAUUCCAGUCUUGGUUGGAAAUAGAAUCUCUGUAUUGAUUCAGGUAAAAACUGAACUUCACAGCAUGUUGGAGCAAAACAACCAGAUGAAAACUGUGAUGGUGUUGGAUUGUCAGACUGUAAUGUUGCAGCUCAAAGCAGCUUUUCUAUCUCAGUUCAUUCUGACAUUCAGCUAUGAAUCAACACAGCAGAUGGUGAUCCAUGCUGUGGAAGUCUCACAUCUCCUGAUUUAAUGGAGCUGCUUUGCACUUUUUACACUGUUUAUUCACCAACUCUUUAUUUAAUAAAAGUCCCAUCUAGUUUUUAUGAGGAAUGUGAUGUUUUAAUUUCUCUGUGAAUAACUGCAGUCUAAUGCAACAGCUGGAAUUGUAACAUCUGUCCUGAUAUUGAUCAUGAAGUAUUGAUCAGAAUACUCAUGGUCAGCAGUCAUCCCUGAAGUUUUACAUUCAAAUCAUUACUUGUGUUGUGAACUUUGGUAAGAAGCAGAAACUUUAGCGUUGCCAUGGAUACAGGAGUGUUAAAUUCUGUCCAUGUUUCCAUUUUGGGAAAUUCAGUCCAGCAGAUCAGUUUGUUUUUACUGCCAGCUACAUUCAGUCUGAGAUAUUAAGAAUAAAUAAAUGUGCAUAAUGUGGAAAUGAACAGAUUCUAUUUUUAUUUAUUCCUACAGCUGCUGCAGGUAAAGUUAUAGAAUGUGGAGGAAUUUAGUCUCACAAUCACAGACAAUAAAUAUUAUCUGAAAGUCGGAUUAUUGUUGUUUAUCAGCACAAUACAAAAAGAUUCAUGUUAGAAAUAUUCCAGUUAAGACUCUAGAAUAUCAGGAUUUAUGUAAAUUUACCUCAAUAAUAUGAAUGUUCAGGUUGUGCAGUGAUAUUUAUUAUGUGAGUUUAGCUGAUAAAAGUUUAUUAUUUAAAUUGACAUCAUUAUUAUAAUAUUUAAGAUCAGACUCUACAGUAUUGAGAUUAAGAAAUCAAAUAUUCUAUAAAAUGUAAAUACACUGAACUCAUUUGGAUCUAUUUAAGUGAGACUCUACAAUAUUAUUUAUGACACAAAUCUAUCUAAAUCAACAUUUUAAUCAUUUUUACUCCAAACAUUUACUGGACUGAUUUAAACAUUAAAAUCACUUCUUUCUAAUCCUCUGCUGUACGUUCAAACCUGAGGCCUUAAAUAGAAACACACAAGUAUCUGAUUGAAGGAACUUCUGCAGAGUCCUGGUUCCAGAACAUGAUGAUAGAAUUAUAGACAAACUUUAACAAAAGCUGCCUGAGAGUUUACAGGUUUUUAUGUUAGAUUUCUUCAGUAAUUUAAUGAGAGUUAUCAGCAAAAAUCAAGUGUUCAUUUGAUGAACUUCAUUUCUUAAAACAUCCAGAAUUGGAGCUCAUAUCUUUGGCAGCUGUAAAGUUUCUGCUCCUUCAAAGUUCACAACACAAUGAAUGAAUUCCUAAAACACUCUCAAUGCUGGAGAGCUUUUGAUGCUGAAGCAGUGAUCAGUUUUUCUGUUUCUUCUCUGGAGAUGCACAAUGAGGGACGUCUGCAGAGACUGAGAAAGAGUCUCACCACAUCCUGACAUGAGGAAAAAGACUUUAUUGAAGACUACAAUGAGAAAAACUAUCAGACAGCAGACGGCUGCAUUCAAGUCUGUAGCUGCUGAAUUCAUGGAUGGAUCAUCUGGCACUAGAGAGGAAGACCAUCAAACAUCCACGUCAGCUGAUGGAGGUCCAAGAGUCUCACCCAACAAACAACCUACAGAGUGAAGACCUCCAAUCUGAUUGGACGGCCUCCUAUUCAGCCACAUUUUAGGCUGUUAGAUUGUUCCAGAUAAGACAAGUACAAGAUUCUUCAGAGCCGUUCUACCACGAGCCUGACAGGAAGAACUCCAACAGCUACUGAAUGUUCCUGUGGUUCCCUCAAGGCUACAGGAGGAGCCCUACGAGGACGAGCUGGUCCACCUGAUGGAGGCCAGUCGCUGCGGUUCAAAGCCAACACCGACUACGUGGACUUCUACUGGACCACAUGGAGGCCUUCAAACCGGACCAACAAGUUCAGCGACUCCCCGACUCGUGGGUCUGAGGACGCCGCCGAGCCUCGGUCCAGCCGGCCUCCUGUCUGUGGGUGUUUGAGUGCUGAGAGGUUUGUGGAUGCAUGUGAACGUUCUGUGUUGAAACAGCAGCUUUGGACUCAGUAACACCGGGAAAAACCAAGAGCUCCUUUAUUUGUGACUUCCACUAAAAAAACUGAUGAAAAUAAGUUUACCAGGGUUCUGACUGAUAACAGAUUAUUAAAUAAUGAAAAUAAUCCUUUAAAUAUUCCUUUAAACAAUCCUUUUAGGUCUACAUUUCCUUUACGCUGACUUCUUGGUAAAUGUACAAGUAUUUUGGGUGGAAUAUACCAUUAAGCCCAAUGUUCAAGGGUUCUUCUGGGAAUAUACCAUUAAACCAACCUUUUAGGUAAAUGUUCCAGGAUGUUGGGUAGAAUAUACCAUCAGAUCAACCUUUUAGGUCUACAUUGGAAGAUUUUAGAGUAGAAUAUUACUCCAAACCAUCCUUUAGGUCUACAUUUAAGGUGGAAUACUCCUUUACACCAAGAUUUUUUGGUCUACAUUGAAGGAUUUUAGGUGGAAUAUUCCUUUGAACAAACUUUUUAAGUUUAUGUUCCAGGAUGUUGGGUGGAAUUUACCAUCAGACCAACCUCCAAGGUCUACAGUAGUGAAUUUUAGGUGGAAUAUACCAUUAAACUCACCUUUUAGGUCUACAUUGGAGGAUUUUAGGUGGAAUUUUCUUCCAAACCAUCUUUUAGUCUACAUUUAAGGAUGUUUAGGAUUGUAUAUUCUUCCAAACCAACUUCUCAGGUCUACAUUUCAGGUGGAAUAUUCCUCCAUACUAACUUUUUUGGUCUACAUUGAAGGAUUUUUUCUAAACCACCCUUUGGGGUCUAUAUUUGAGGUUUUAGGUGGAAUAUUCCUUUCAACCAGCCCCUCAGGUCUCUUUGAGGAUUUUGGAUGGAAUACUCUGUUAAACCAACAUUUUAGGUGCAUGUCCAAGGAUUUUUGGUGGAAUGUUCCUUUAAAGUGGAUGUUUGAGGACCUUGUCGGUGGAAUACUUCCUGAAACCAACCUUUUAGGUCAACAUUCAAAGAUUUAAGGUGGAAUAUUCCUUUAAACCAACCUAAAUUUCAUGUUUUGAUCAUUAUCAAGUGAGAAACCUCAAUCCAGACUCCUCAUAAUGACAUUUGAGAUUUAUGCUGCUGUUAUUUGUUUAGUCCAGACUAAAUGACAGAAAUCCACAACUGUAAUUUUAUUUCAGGACUCUGUUAUUGAAUGUCAAAACAAUCCAUGUGACUCUAAAAACUCAACAGC